UUGGAGGGCAAGUCUGGUGCCAGCAGCCGCGGUAAUUCCAGCUCCAAUAGCGUAUAUUAAAGUAGUUGCAGUUAAAAAGCUCGUAGUUGAAUUUCGGGAUCAAUUUAUCGGUCGUGCCAAUGGUAUGAACUGGUACAAUUGGUUUCUCCCUUCUGACGAAGCAUGAUGUCAUUAAUUUGGUGUCGUGGGGAAUCAGGACUGUUACUUUGAAAAAAUUAGAGUGUUAAAGCAAGCAUUAGCUUGAAUACAUUAGCAUGGAAUAAUGAAAUAGGACGUUUGAUCCUAUUUCGUUGGUUUCUAGGAUCGACGUAAUGAUUAAUAGGGAUAGUUGGGGGCAUUAGUAUUCAAUUGUCAGAAGUGAAAUUCUUGGAUUUAUUGAAGACUAACUACUGCGAAAGCAUUUGCCAAGGAUGUUUUCAUUAAUCAAGAACGAAAGUUAGGGGAUCGAAGACGAUCAGAUACCGUCGUAGUUUUAACCAUAAACUAUGCCGACUAGGGAUCGGAUGAUGUUAAUUUUUUAAUGACUCAUUCGGCGCCUUACGGGAAAC
This 548-nucleotide ribosomal RNA is filed under the name uncultured Glomeromycotina. RNAcentral's name for it is "SSU rRNA". It matches the Rfam family "Eukaryotic small subunit ribosomal RNA", at positions 548 to 1098 of the family's 1831-position model. Lineage: Eukaryota; Fungi; Glomeromycota. The record is from RNAcentral.